RNAcentral lists this ribosomal RNA (301 nucleotides) under uncultured bacterium. RNAcentral's name for it is "partial 16S ribosomal RNA". It matches the Rfam family "Bacterial small subunit ribosomal RNA", at positions 509 to 807 of the family's 1533-position model. The record is from RNAcentral.
CAGUCGCCACGGUAAUACGAAGGGGGCUAGCGUUGCUCGGAAUGACUGGGCGUAAAGGGCGCGUAGGCGGCGAUCAAAGUCAGGCGUGAAAUUCCUGGGCUCAACCUGGGGGCUGCGUUUGAUACUUGGUUGCUAGAGUGAGGAAGAGGGUCGUGGAAUUCCCAGUGUAGAGGUGAAAUUCGUAGAUAUUCGGAAGAACACCAGUGGCGAAGGCGGCUCACUGGACGCGUAUUGACGCUGAGGUGCGAAAGCGUGGGGAGCAAACAGGAUUAGAUACCCGGGUAGUCCCUGUCUCUUAUAC